UGUGGACUCAGGGCGCACUGCCUGUGAGUAGAGACAGACCAGCACAGAGCAAGAGCCCCAUGCCGAGAGGCAGCAGACUGGAGGGAUGCAGCCACCAGCCAGGGUGCACCCAGGGCCGCCAGCAGCCACUGUGUGGGAGAAGGGCAUGGGAGGAGCCCACUCUGCCCACACCUCACUGUCAGACCCUGGCCUCGGAGACAGAGAGAGAGCAGGUUCCUGUUGCCCCAAGCCAUGCAGUGUGCAGCACCCUGUUAUGGCAGCCACGGGAGACCAACGUUACCAUCCAGCUCAUGUCUCCGCCUCAGAGUUCACCUUCUUCCUUCUGAUGCGAGGAUGGCAUUCUGCAGACGCGGAAGACUUACUCCCUCGGAAGCCAAAACCACAAAGUGGGAUUCCUUCGGAGAGAUUGCUGGUUGCCGUCUUGCUACCUCUCCACUGUCCAGCCUUUUUGUCAGUUGCCCCCUCAUCACUUCUCUUCUUUUGAGAGAAUCAGUUGUCCCACCAACUGCGGACCACCACCUCUCUGCUGUCUCACCACCCACCCACCCACCACUGCCACCUCCACUGUUUCAUCUUCAUGGCUGCCAGGUGAUGCAGGGCAGGUGAGCCCCAAAACUGGGGCUUAGCCCAGGAGGGUUCUCAGCUUUGCCCAGGAAAGAAUUCAAGGGUGGGCCGGCGGUGGCAGGCAG
Molecule: long non-coding RNA, 689 nt
Filed under: Rhinopithecus bieti (black snub-nosed monkey)
Lineage: Eukaryota; Metazoa; Chordata; Mammalia; Primates; Cercopithecidae
Description: lncRNA (ENSRBIG00000045588.1)
Source: RNAcentral